AGCGAACGCUGGCGGCAGGCCUAACACAUGCAAGUCGAACGGAUCCUUCGGGAUUAGUGGCGGACGGGUGAGUAACACGUGGGAACGUGCCCCUUGGUUCGGAACAACUCAGGGAAACUUGAGCUAAUACCGGAUGUGCCCUUCGGGGGAAAGAUUUAUCGCCAUUGGAGCGGCCCGCGUCUGAUUAGCUAGUUGGUGAGGUAACGGCCCACCAAGGCGACGAUCAGUAGCUGGUCUGAGGGGAUGAUCAGCCACACUGGGACUGAGACACGGCCCAGACUCCUACGGGAGGCAGCAGUGGGGAAUCUUGCGCAAUGGGCGAAAGCCUGACGCAGCCAUGCCGCGUGAAUGAUGAAGGUCUUAGGAUCGUAAAAUUCUUUCAGCGGGGACGAUAAUGACGGUACCCGCAGAAGAAGCUCCGGCUAACUUCGUG
Molecule: ribosomal RNA, 433 nt
Filed under: uncultured bacterium
Lineage: Bacteria
Description: partial 16S ribosomal RNA
Rfam family: Bacterial small subunit ribosomal RNA
Source: RNAcentral